GAAGAUGUGAUGCAGAGAAGUUAAAGGACUUACCAAAGAGCACAGUUAGGAAAUUGAAUGAUCAAAAAUUCAAAUCCAGAUUAAUCUUAUUUCAAUGCCGAUAUUUUUGUUCUAUUUCUCUACAGUGCAUUCUUGGGAUUCGUCAGUUACUUACUAAUCGAUAAUUUAAUUGGAAUGCAUUAUAAACCAGAGUAUUCAGACUUUCUGAAACCAUGAAAAUUUCCUAAGAUGGGAAAAACAUCCACAGAAGAUUUGGAAGUCAAGCAGCAGCCUUGCUCUCUGAAGAUGGUGGUGGCAGAAGCAGUGACAGACAGCAACGACAGGUAUCCUUGUUCUGUAUUCUACAUCCCUCUUUCCUUCCUGUGGACCAAUGGUGGCCUCCAGGCCAAACCAGAUGCUGGAACACUGAUACACCAUUUUUCACAUAGAUAUUUCUAAUACAACCCACUUUGUAGCGCUCCGUUGGGCAGGUGGGUGAUUGGGGCCUCUCAGAUGUAAUGGUGACUCACCUAAUAUCCCAACUGCUCCUUUUAGACCUUCACUUCCCUAGUUCCUCCUAUAAUUAAUUUUUAUAUUAAUAUCCUUAUUCCGUAACUCACAUCUGCUUCCCAAAUUGAACCCUAAUUCAGUUACAUAACAAUAAUCAUAACAGCCCCUAUAUAGUGUGCAUAUAUAUAUACAUAUUUUAUUUUUUAUGUUUUUAAUUUUUUUGAGACAGAGUCUCGCUCUGUUGCCCAAGCUGGAGUGCAAUGGCAGAAUCUCAGCUCACUGUAACCUCCACCUCCCAGGUUCAGGCAAUUCUCAUGCCUCAGCCUCCCGAGUAGCUGGGAUUAUAGGCGUGCGCUACCACACCUAGCUAA
RNAcentral lists this long non-coding RNA (860 nucleotides) under Papio anubis (olive baboon). RNAcentral's name for it is "lncRNA (ENSPANG00000042050.1)". Lineage: Eukaryota; Metazoa; Chordata; Mammalia; Primates; Cercopithecidae. The record is from RNAcentral.